CUGGGGGUGGUAAAGAAGCUGGGGAGGAAGGGCUGCUGAGCUGGGCAGCGGAGGGGGCCUUGGUGUCCAGCUGUGCUCCGAACCUCAAGGGCAACAAAACUAUCAGUACCUGCCUCCACUCCUUCUGUCUGGGUGCUCUUGAGAUCGCGGGGUGUUGCCGCAAGACCCUUUUGUGCCUGGAUGCCGGACCAAAAGGCUGUCCCUCCCAAACCUGGGAUUCUGGGCUCACUGAGUUCACCUGCGAGUCAGCCCUACCUGCUCUGCUCUGGUCUAGUACAAACAGGCUGCUGGCAUUGAGGUAGGUGGCAGAGAGAGUAAUGGUCCCAUGGCCCAGGGGCAAGGUGAAGACUGCUCCUAUUCCCAUCUCUAGGUUUCCUUUCCUCCCUACCCACGACCCACCCACCCCAACACAUUGGUCUCCAGCAUCUCAUCAGCAGUUUAGACAUUUCUCACCCCUCCUCACUUUGGCCCUGCUGGGUCAGUGCUCUCUGUUCA
Molecule: long non-coding RNA, 495 nt
Filed under: Pan troglodytes (chimpanzee)
Lineage: Eukaryota; Metazoa; Chordata; Mammalia; Primates; Hominidae
Description: long non-coding RNA NONPTRT003869
Source: RNAcentral